This 292-nucleotide ribosomal RNA is filed under the name uncultured bacterium. Its description in RNAcentral is "partial 16S ribosomal RNA". It matches the Rfam family "Bacterial small subunit ribosomal RNA", at positions 505 to 796 of the family's 1533-position model. The record is from RNAcentral.
GUGCCAGCCGCCGCGGUAAGACGGAGGGUGCUAGCGUUGUUCGGAUUUACUGGGCGUAAAGGGCGCGUAGGCGGCCUUCUCAGUCGGGUGUGAAAGCCCGGGGCUCAACCCCGGAACGGCACCCGAGACGGGUUGGCUGGAGACCGGGAGAGGAGGGUGGAAUAGCCAGUGUAGAGGUGAAAUUCGUAGAUAUUGGCUGGAACACCGGUGGCGAAAGCGGCUCUCUGGCCCGGUUCUGACGCUGAGGCGCGAAAGCGUGGGGAGCAAACAGGAUUAGAAACCCCCGUAGUCC